This 594-nucleotide ribosomal RNA is filed under the name Ammonia sp. genotype T1. Its description in RNAcentral is "bacterial SSU rRNA". The stretch from base 1 to 464 matches the Rfam family "Eukaryotic small subunit ribosomal RNA", at positions 1220 to 1501 of the family's 1831-position model. Lineage: Eukaryota; Foraminifera; Rotaliida; Rotaliidae. The record is from RNAcentral.
GGGUCCGGACACACUGAGGAUUGACAGAUAUACGUCGUGCGUUGAGCUCUCUCGGGGGCCGAGCGCAUGACUGAAAGAUGCUAGUUCUUUCAUGAUUAUGUGAUAGGUGGUGCAUGGCCGUUCUUAGUUCGUGGAGUGAUCUGUCUGCUUAAUUGCGUAUCAUAAAAAGAGACCUAGUAUACGCGUAAGAUAUCGUUUACGGUUCGUGACCCCCCUCGGGCGUGUGUCGCACGUACGUAUCAUACGCACUGGUCUCCGAUAGCAACGAACGUGACCGUACUCUAUUGUUGCAGCGAAUGUAUGCAUCUUCGGGUGUAUCUACCGCUGCUUAGUGCGUAUGCGUACUUCGGUGCGUGUCGUACAUUAAACUAUAGAGACCGCUGUAUUUUUUUUAAACCAGAGGAAGGAUACGGCAAUAACAGGUCUGUGAUGCCCUCAGAUGUUCCGGGCUGCACACGUGCUACAAUGAUCAUUGCACUGUGCAUCUAACCCAAUGUGCGUGGACGCCACGGUAUGUAUUUAUGCUUCGGCGUAGUAUAUAUCAGUUGGUCGGCCGCGCCGAACCUACUUCGAAAGUAAAAUUUCUCAGUGGGU